CCCUUGGAUGUUCUGGGCUGCACGCGUGCUACAAUGGCGCUUGCAACAAGUCUUGCCAACCCGAUAGGGUGAGCGGAUCUUUGAAGAGGCGUCGUGAUCGGGACAGUUGAUUGCAAUUAUUCGACUCGAACGAGGAAUUCCUUGUAAUCGCGAUUCAUCAUAUCGCGCUGAAUACGUCCCUGCCCUUUGUACACACCGCCCGUCGCUCCUACCGAUUGAGCGAUCCGGUGAAUGUUUAGGACUGGCGUCAGAAGCGGUUCGCUCCUGACACUACGAAAUUUUGUAAACCUUAUCGCUUAGAGGAAGGAAAAGUCGUAACA
RNAcentral lists this ribosomal RNA (320 nucleotides) under uncultured eukaryote. RNAcentral's name for it is "partial 18S ribosomal RNA". It matches the Rfam family "Eukaryotic small subunit ribosomal RNA", at positions 1470 to 1796 of the family's 1831-position model. The record is from RNAcentral.